Molecule: long non-coding RNA, 1255 nt
Filed under: Monodelphis domestica (gray short-tailed opossum)
Lineage: Eukaryota; Metazoa; Chordata; Mammalia; Didelphimorphia; Didelphidae
Description: lncRNA (ENSMODG00000035151.2)
Source: RNAcentral
AGGCAAUAUGAACAAGACUGCACUAUAGAGAACGCUAUCUGAUGCAAUGCUUCCUGGGCACUUUAUCUCUAAUGAAUCCCCUUCCUUGAAUGCACUAAAUAGAGAACUUGGCAUAUGGCAUAUGAUGCAGAUGGAUCAACUCUAUCUGUUCCAUAGACAUUGAAGUAUGAAUUUGUCAGCUAUCCAGCUAGCAGGCAGAUUUUUUUUCAUGGAUAAUACACAAUUUUACAGAGAUGAAAAGUUGCCCUCUUGAACUACUAGCAGUAAUAAUCCUCCUAUUAAAUAGCGUGGGCCAUGAGCUGAAGUCAUAAUCUGGGAACUAAAAUGUCAGCAUAGAGAUGCACAAAUGGGGCUCGGAUAAGCUUGACCUUGAAAUGACUUCCUAUGAUGAAGCUAGAUAAACAGAAAGUAGGAAACCAUGGAUUCAAAGUUUAAAGCCAGACAGAAAUUCAUUUGCUGUUUGGGCCAUCUUUAUUGAAUUAUUUUGGAGUUCAAAUUGAAUAUUUUACAAUGAUGCUCUCAAAAAUCUUUGACAGUCUGUAUGUGCAGUGAGUUUCAGACAAGAGUUGCUAGGGGGAGUGGUGAGGGGAAGAGUGAUAGAAGAAGAAUUACACUUUUCAUGAAAACAGGAAAUGAAUUUUUCAAUUUUGAAUGACCACAGAAUUAAACAGAUAAAAAUAACUAGAUCCUUAUCAAUUCAUUUAUCUAAGAUCCAGUCCAAAAGUAUGGAUUUUACUUUAGUGGAAAAAAAAACAAUUGAAUUAAUUGAAGAGUAGGAUCAAGAUCAAGAAGGACUAUAUUCUAUGCUAAUCGGGUCACUUGUGGGGCAUUGUGAAGAGACUGAAAAAAACUGAAGUGUGUAUAAAAGAAGCCUAUCAAGCUGAUGAGAAUUCUCAAUUUCAAAGCACAUGGUGAAUGAUUGUUAGUACCAGGAACAUUGAGGUUGAAGAAGAGAAUGCUCAGGGAGUAUAAAUUCUGUUUUCAAAUACUGUGAUGACUUAAAUGUCAAAGGCUCAGACUUUUCUAAAAAGCCUUAGAAAACAAAACUAGGAUUUCUUUUUUUUUUUUUUUGUUAACAUGAGACACACAUUUUUGCAAAUGACCAAUGAUCGAAUUUAUUUUCUUAGAUUAUACCUAAAUAUUACAGGAGUAGAACUAGGAUUUUAAAAGGAAGCAGAUACAAUGGACCAUUAUGAAGAAUAGUGUUCCCUGUUCCUGGUGGUAUUUAGAUAGAGGUUAUAUGGCUACUCUCCAG